GUGGUCACUGUGAAAGUACAUAUACUAAAUGUGGAACGAUAAAGAGAAGAUUAGCAUGGCCCCACGCAAGAAUGACACGCAGAUUGGUGAAUCGACAGUCGAUGUA
Small nuclear RNA from Rhipicephalus microplus (southern cattle tick), 106 nucleotides. NCBI's taxonomy places the organism in Eukaryota, Metazoa, Arthropoda, Arachnida, Ixodida, Ixodidae. The record is from RefSeq and is a predicted model, not a curated record.